AGAGUUUGAUCAUGGCUCAGAUUGAACGCUGGCGGCAGGCUUAACACAUGCAAGUCGAGCGGAGAGAGGUAGCUUGCUACUGAUCUUAGCGGCGGACGGGUGAGUAAUGCUUAGGAAUCUGCCUAUUAGUGGGGGACAACAUUUCGAAAGGAAUGCUAAUACCGCAUACGUCCUACGGGAGAAAGCAGGGGAUCUUCGGACCUUGCGCUAAUAGAUGAGCCUAAGUCGGAUUAGCUAGUUGGUGGGGUAAAGGCCUACCAAGGCGACGAUCUGUAGCGGGUCUGAGAGGAUGAUCCGCCACACUGGGACUGAGACACGGCCCAGACUCCUACGGGAGGCAGCAGUGGGGAAUAUUGGACAAUGGGCGCAAGCCUGAUCCAGCCAUGCCGCGUGUGUGAAGAAGGCCUUAUGGUUGUAAAGCACUUUAAGCGAGGAGGAGGCUACUUUAGUUAAUACCUAGAGAUAGUGGACGUUACUCGCAGAAUAAGCACCGGUUAACUCUGUGCCAGCAGCCGCGGUAAUACAGAGGGUGCAAGCGUUAAUCGGAUUUACUGGGCGUAAAGCGCGCGUAGGCGGCUAAUUAAGUCAAAUGUGAAAUCCCCGAGCUUAACUUGGGAAUUGCAUUCGAUACUGGUUAGCUAGAGUGUGGGAGAGGAUGGUAGAAUUCCAGGUGUAGCGGUGAAAUGCGUAGAGAUCUGGA
Molecule: ribosomal RNA, 700 nt
Filed under: Acinetobacter sp. N4-A32
Lineage: Bacteria; Pseudomonadati; Pseudomonadota; Gammaproteobacteria; Moraxellales; Moraxellaceae
Description: bacterial SSU rRNA
Rfam family: Bacterial small subunit ribosomal RNA
Source: RNAcentral